RNAcentral lists this ribosomal RNA (254 nucleotides) under uncultured bacterium. RNAcentral's name for it is "partial 16S ribosomal RNA". It matches the Rfam family "Bacterial small subunit ribosomal RNA", at positions 524 to 776 of the family's 1533-position model. The record is from RNAcentral.
UACGGGGGGAGCAAGCGUUGUUCGGAUUUACUGGGCGUAAAGGGCGUGUAGGCGGCCAGCACAAGUCAGUUGUGAAAUCUCCGGGCUUAACUCGGAAAGGUCAACUGAUACUGUGCGGCUAGAGUGCGGAAGGGGCAACUGGAAUUCUUGGUGUAGCGGUGAAAUGCGUAGAUAUCAAGAGGAACACCUGCGGCGAAGGCGGGUUGCUGGGCCGACACUGACGCUGAGGCGCGAAAGCUAGGGGAGCGAACGGG